UAUUUUCAUUUUUUUUCAUUUCCCUCCAACAUCUUCUCUCUCUUUCUGUGCUUUGUUCACUCUACACUCCCAGUUGUCUCUCUGCCUAAUUUCUACAGAAACAAAAGGGAUGGAAGGUGGUCAACAGUACAAUCCUCGAACAGUUGAAGAAGUUUUUAGAGAUUUCAAGGGUCGUAGAGCUGGCCUUAUUAAAGCUCUUACUACUGAUGUCGAAGAAUUUUAUCAGCAGUGCGACCCAGAAAAAGAAAAUCUUUGCCUAUAUGGAUUUCCAAGUGAACAGUGGGAAGUCAAUCUACCAGCUGAGGAAGUGCCCCCUGAGCUUCCAGAGCCUGCUCUGGGGAUUAACUUUGCCCGUGAUGGCAUGCAAGAGAAGGACUGGCUAUCUUUGGUUGCUGUGCAUAGUGAUGCAUGGUUACUUGCUGUUGCAUUUUAUUUUGGUGCUAGGUUUGGUUUCGAUAGAGCUGAUAGGAGAAGAUUGUUCAAUAUGAUAAACGAUCUUCCCACAAUUUUUGAGGUUGUGUCUGGGACAGCCAAGAAACAAUCAAAAGAGAAAUCAUCAAUGUCAAACCACAGCAGCACCAAGUCCAAGUCAAAUUCCAAGGUGGCACAGCGUGGCUCUGAACUGCCACCCAAGUACUCAAGGCCACAACCGAAAGAUGAGGAUGAAGAUGGUUUGGAAGAGGAGGAAGAUGACGAGCAAGGAGAAACACUAUGUGGUGCAUGUGGUGAGAACUAUGCAUCUGAUGAGUUCUGGAUCUGCUGCGACAUAUGUGAGAAAUGGUUCCACGGGAAAUGCGUUAAGAUCACUCCAGCUAGGGCUGAACAUAUCAAGCAGUACAAAUGCCCCGCCUGCAGCAACAAGAGAGCACGCACCUGAUUGUCAGGUCACUGGGCUCGCACUUAAUCAGGGAAUUAUUAACAAGAUCAUUUUCUAAUCUGAGGAAAUCUCUUUUCGAGAAGCUUGAAAAGGUCAUAGUAAAUUGAUGGAAGAUGAGAUCUGCUGUUGGUUGUUGGAACCUUUCUUGAGGAUGCUGGUCAUCCCAGAAAUCACAUCAGCAAUCUAUUAUACUCUUGGUAAAGCUGCGGGAAAUGUUGCCGCAGAGGAAUAUGCUUCUUACCUUCCUCGGCACUAGGUGACUUUAGAAUGUGUUGUUAAUUUUGUUUCUAAGAAAUAUUCUACGCCUUGAAAGGACUUAAUUAAUGGAAGUUAGGUGAUAUUUUUUUUCCUUUGUAUAAGUAUUGGUGGGCAGAGUUAUCUAGUAUUUGUGCUGAUUUGAAGUAGCAGGUACUUAAUGGAACAAACGAGGUGUUCCAUCUUUCUAAGCCGCGGUGGACGGAGUUCUUCGUUAUCUCUACGAGUUGGAAGUAGCAGGAACCCGGAAGAAUAGUCGAGGUGAAUGCAAUUGCUUGGAACACCACCGUUGUGAAAAAUAUUCUUACUUGGAUAAAAAGGAAUUGUUACUUAACAGGGAACGAGACACGAGACUUUCAAGUGAAACUUUAAGCCAAGUUAUGCCUGAUGUGUUGCAUCUGAAGCUGCCGUUUCAGAUCUAUUGCCGUUUUAUUUCUUGGCUGAUCAUUGCAUUUUUGGUAUAUUUAGGCACGAGGGCUUGCUUCAUUUAAGAAGCUAUAUAAACACUUAUAAUCACGAUUUAGAGGAUAUCUGCAAGGCUGUGCAGACUGCAGAGUAUUUGUAUCUCUCUGUGGCGCAUAAUUACUAUAAAAGAAUGGAUGCAUCAUUGCCUUCACAAUUCACAAAA
Molecule: RNA transcript, 1760 nt
Organism: Nicotiana attenuata
Lineage: Eukaryota; Viridiplantae; Streptophyta; Magnoliopsida; Solanales; Solanaceae
Gene name: PHD finger protein ALFIN-LIKE 4-like
Exons: 6
Source: RefSeq, a predicted model, not a curated record